Molecule: non-coding RNA, 30 nt
Filed under: Mus musculus (house mouse)
Lineage: Eukaryota; Metazoa; Chordata; Mammalia; Rodentia; Muridae
Source: RNAcentral
UGACAUAUUUAGAAUGUACUUUUAAUUUCC